UUGUGUCCAGGAGGGAGUGACCAACUGUCAAUUGUGACAAAUGCUGCUGAGAAAUCAAGAGAGAUAAGAACAGAGACAUGACCACUGGAUUUGGCAAUACCAAGGAGUCCAAUAUGAGGUAUUAAGGGGAUUAAGACACAAUGUGAUCAGGACCUCCAGCCGCCAUGACACCUCCACUAUGAUAGUCUAUGCACCCAAGCUCUCUGCCAAAAUAAGCCCUUCCUCCUCCUUGCUGCUUCUAUCAAGUAUUUCUCAGAGCAACAAGACAAAUAAUAUUUCUGCCAUGAGUCAAGGUAUUCUCCAAGAGAUUCAGGCCACUUCCAUCCUGAACUCCCUCAUCUGAAGGGCAGACUUUCAGAUUGGCCCUAUGAGAAAGAAGGCUGAAGGCUGAUCAUCAAUAUGUAAACGCCUUAGCUUCCACUCAUCAAUAUCUGAACACCUCAGCUUCCACUCACAGACCGUUAGCUACAGCUGCUCACAGGUGCCAUCCAAGAGAGACUGGAACCGGCAGGGAAAACAUAGGCUAUGUAGUAGAUUCCCAAACAGUCGGUCUCAGUUCAUUGGUGCCACUACCAGAGCUUUCUCAGAAAACAGACCUACAGACCUCUUCUAAAUGCCACUGGGCUUUGCAGUGGCCCCAUUCCCCAUUUCUCUCCUGAAUCAUCACCGUUGAACAGAACAA
Non-coding RNA from Peromyscus maniculatus bairdii (prairie deer mouse), 682 nucleotides. The record is from RefSeq and is a predicted model, not a curated record. NCBI's taxonomy places the organism in Eukaryota, Metazoa, Chordata, Mammalia, Rodentia, Cricetidae.